AUGCAAGUCGAGCGGACAGAUGGGAGCUUGCUCCCUGAUGUUAGCGGCGGACGGGUGAGUAACACGUGGGUAACCUGCCUGUAAGACUGGGAUAACUCCGGGAAACCGGGGCUAAUACCGGAUGGUUGUUUGAACCGCAUGGUUCAAACAUAAAAGGUGGCUUCGGCUACCACUUACAGAUGGACCCGCGGCGCAUUAGCUAGUUGGUGAGGUAACGGCUCACCAAGGCAACGAUGCGUAGCCGACCUGAGAGGGUGAUCGGCCACACUGGGACUGAGACACGGCCCAGACUCCUACGGGAGGCAGCAGUAGGGAAUCUUCCGCAAUGGACGAAAGUCUGACGGAGCAACGCCGCGUGAGUGAUGAAGGUUUUCGGAUCGUAAAGCUCUGUUGUUAGGGAAGAACAAGUACCGUUCGAAUAGGGCGGUACCUUGACGGUACCUAACCAGAAAGCCACGGCUAACUACGUGCCAGCAGCCGCGGUAAUACGUAGGUGGCAAGCGUUGUCCGGAAUUAUUGGGCGUAAAGGGCUCGCAGGCGGUUUCUUAAGUCUGAUGUGAAAGCCCCCGGCUCAACCGGGGAGGGUCAUUGGAAAACUGGGGAACUUGAGUGCAGAAGAGGAGAGU
This 626-nucleotide ribosomal RNA is filed under the name Bacillus sp. (in: firmicutes). RNAcentral's name for it is "bacterial SSU rRNA". It matches the Rfam family "Bacterial small subunit ribosomal RNA", at positions 55 to 662 of the family's 1533-position model. Lineage: Bacteria; Bacillati; Bacillota; Bacilli; Caryophanales; Bacillaceae. The record is from RNAcentral.